This 643-nucleotide long non-coding RNA is filed under the name Homo sapiens (human). Its description in RNAcentral is "HSALNT0133401". Lineage: Eukaryota; Metazoa; Chordata; Mammalia; Primates; Hominidae. The record is from RNAcentral.
CACCCAACUACUCUGGUACCAUUGCUUUGGCCCUGUUAGUGUCGCUUGUUGGAGGUUUGCUUUAUUUGAGAAGGAACAACUUGGAGUUCAUCUAUAACAAGACUGGUUGGGCCAUGGUGUCUCUGUGUAUAGUCUUUGCUAUGACUUCUGGCCAGAUGUGGAACCAUAUCCGUGGACCUCCAUAUGCUCAUAAGAACCCACACAAUGGACAAGUGGGUCUUCUCCUGUGGCCCAGGCUGGAGUUCAGUGGCGUGAUCACAGCCUACUUUUAACUUCAAAAUCCUAGGCUCAAGCCAUCCUCCCACCUCAGCCUCCUUAGUAGCUGGGACUACAGGUGCAUGCCACUGCACCCAACUAAUUUUUAAAAUUUUUUGUAGAGACAGGGUCUUGCUAUGUCAUCUAGGCUGGUCUUGGACUCCUAGCCUCAAGUGAUACUCCAGCACUGGCCUGCCAAAGUACCAGGAUUACAGAGGUGAGCCAACCAUGUGCAGCCAUCUUCAGCCUAUUUUAAAUGAACAAUUUUUUAAAAAUACACUGUAAAUAUAACUAGCAAUCAUUUAACUGUAACAACUAUUCAGUGAAUUGUAAUGUAUAUUUUAUUACUGGUAAUUAAUUAAUUCAUUAAUAAAGGCAUUCUCAUUUU